GCCUGGGUGGCUCAGUCGGUUAAGCGUCUGACUUUGGCUCAGGUCAUGAUCUUGUGGUUUGUGGGUUCAAGCCCCGCGUCAGGCU
Molecule: transfer RNA, 85 nt
Filed under: Felis catus (domestic cat)
Lineage: Eukaryota; Metazoa; Chordata; Mammalia; Carnivora; Felidae
Rfam family: tRNA
About the family: Transfer RNA (tRNA) molecules are approximately 80 nucleotides in length. Their secondary structure includes four short double-helical elements and three loops (D, anti-codon, and T loops).
Source: Rfam by way of RNAcentral